RNAcentral lists this non-coding RNA (145 nucleotides) under uncultured Anaeroplasma sp. The record is from RNAcentral. Lineage: Bacteria; Bacillati; Mycoplasmatota; Mollicutes; Anaeroplasmatales; Anaeroplasmataceae.
AAAGAAGCAAUAGCGAAAUCGUGGCCCUAUGAACAAAAACUUGAUAUUAAGGCCUUUUAGGUGGAUAAGGUUACUCAACAAACUAAAGUCCAAAGGACAAACGUAAGCCUAAGUAGGUAAAUCAAGAGGGUAAACGAGGAAAGAG